GGAUCAAUAUUUCGGUCAUGCCGUUGGUAUGCACUGUUAUCAUUGAUUUCUCACCUUCUAAAGAACCGUAAUGCCAUUAAUUUGGUGUUACGGGGAAUUAGGACUGUUACCUUGAAAAAAUUAGAGUGUUUAAAGCAGGCUCACGCUUGAAUACAUUAGCAUGGAAUAAUGAAAUAGGACAUCCGAUUCUAUUUUGUUGGUUUCCAGGAUCGAUGUA
RNAcentral lists this ribosomal RNA (217 nucleotides) under Funneliformis monosporus. RNAcentral's name for it is "Funneliformis monosporum partial 18S ribosomal RNA". The stretch from base 24 to 217 matches the Rfam family "Eukaryotic small subunit ribosomal RNA", at positions 669 to 864 of the family's 1831-position model. Lineage: Eukaryota; Fungi; Glomeromycota; Glomeromycetes; Glomerales; Glomeraceae. The record is from RNAcentral.